RNAcentral lists this long non-coding RNA (4436 nucleotides) under Sus scrofa (pig). Its description in RNAcentral is "lncRNA (ENSSSCG00050053089.1)". Lineage: Eukaryota; Metazoa; Chordata; Mammalia; Artiodactyla; Suidae. The record is from RNAcentral.
GGUUAUCUGGUCAUCAUAUGAGGCACUGCCAUCCACUCAUUCAGAGCUAGAAGCAAGCAGCAGCCUGUGUGUCUAGAUAUCAAGUCCUCUGCCUAGGGCUCUGGGAUGCCCUUGAUAAAAGCCGAAAAUAUCCAGAGCUAAAAACCCCUCCAAAUAGUGAGGCUGGAGGGGAGAAAGGCAUGUAGCCAGAUGGUUCUGAGCUCAAGUUCUGUUCGGCAUUCCUAGCCGGGACCUGGGGCAAGGGGCACAACAUCUCUGGGUCUGUUUCCACAUUUCAGAAGGGGAAUGUUUGCUUCUUUCAGUAGUCGUGAGAAGGGGCCUGUGGCUAUGGAAAACAGCAUCCCUGUUUCAAAGAUGCAUGUGGCAUGAAGGUCAACUGCCACACAUGAGGUUUGGCGUUUGCUCUAUCCCAGAACUGCUCCCAUGCUGCGGUGCACACAAAGCCCCCGGGUCUCCGUUAAAAGACAGACUCAGGAGGUCUGGGGUGGGGCCCGAGGUUCUAUAUUUUUAGCUCACUGCCAGGUGACACCUGUGUUGCUGGUCCAUGGAGUGGUAUAGGUUUAAGAGUCUCUAGCAACCCCAUUGGCAAGAAAGGUAGAAGCCAGAUGGAAUUUGAUAGCGAUGAAGCUGGGUAGCGGGAUAAAAGGAGUUCCUUAUGCCAUCUCUACUUUUUUGGUUCGUGGGGAGGAGAGAGAGGGAGGGAAUGGAGAAUGACUGCUAACGGGUACAAGGUUUCUUUGAGGGAUGGUGAAAUGUCCUAAAAUUAGAUUAUGGGGAUGCUUGCACAACCCUGCAAAUAUACUAAAACCCAAUGAACUAUACACUUUAAAUGGGUGAAUUGUAAACAAUAAAGCUUUUAAAAAUAAAUAAAAGAAGAAAUGAAAUUGCCUUCCCCUAGAGGCUGGAUUUUCACAGCCUGCAAGUCUUUGAAGCAGGACCCAAGCGUGUCUAAAGCUAAACCCAGCGAGUUCACUGCCAAGGAGGUGAUGAGUUUCGGAGAGAAAUAGGUGUUGGGAGACUCCAGGAAAAUGUUGGGGAUCCAGAUUCUGAAGCAUGGAGGGCCCAGAGGAAAGGCCCUUCUGUUCUGAGCCUGGCUCUUCCCAGGCCUCGUACGAGGGAUGGCCAAGCCCCCACCCCCAGGGCCUGAGCCCUUCCUCCGUCCUGCCCUCCCCUGCAUCAUGGUGAUGGAAUUCAGCUGAAUUCAGAGUUCUGAUGACCAAAUUAGAUUUCCUAUCCUUGGCCCAGAAAGUGAUUUUCCUCUCAACAUUCUAUACCCAGUGCCAAGGCCACCUCCUCCAAGGAGGCUUCCCUGAUCUUCCACAUCCCUGGAUUCACCUCUCCCUUAGAAAAGGGACCAUUUUCCUCAGCCUGAACUAUUAGGUCCCACAGGCUGGCUCUGGAGGACUCAGUGGACAGCUAGGACUUACAGAAUCCCUGCAGGUGCCUGUUCCUGAGCAAGGUCCCCACUGUGGGGCAUGCAUCAGGGACCAUUCAUUCAUCCAGACAUUCCUUCAUGUCCAGCUGGGCCUGAAUCUCAAAAUCACCUGCCAGGGAGAUUGGUUUUGUGUGCCAGGCUCCUUGACUUCUCACCCGGACUUUGAGGCAGGUGAGCUUGUGGAGGCCCCUCGUGACAGAGUGUCAUGGGUAUCCUGCAUGGAGCCCAGGGCUGGAAGCCAGGAAAUCAGGACCUUCUUCAGAUGAUGACUGCAGGCAACAAGCUUCAGCUUUCUGGGCCUCAGUUUUUCCAUCAGCAGGAUGGGGGUAAAAGCCAUGCCUGCUACCCUCCUCCUAGGGCUGUUGGGAAAUCAGAAGAGCCCCAAGUGGGGACCCUCCCAGCCUUUAGAAACACUCUCCCCUCUGUGAGGUCAAGCAGCUGAAAAGCAGAGAAGAGGGCUGUGGACUGGAAUCAAGGCAGCGCCACUGUCUUCCCCUGCAGGGCCUCAGUUUCCCCUUUGUCUAACGAGAAUGAGUCCUCCCUCAUGGGACGGAGGGGCCAGGCCUGCCAGGACCUGACAAGAUCAGCAGAGUCAGAGCUCCCAGCCAGAAGAAGCCCCACUGAGAGGCGGCAGAGAGGAAGCCUUCAUGCACACAUUGUCUGGGGAGAGCAGUGGAGCCCCACGAAGCAGGCACAGGGCCAGAAGCAGGUGGCCAUCACCUCAGAGGCUUGAGAGCAUCACCCCUGGCACCAGACUCCCUGGGUUCAAAUCCCGGCCUCACCACUUACUAGCUGGGGGACACAACCUUUUUGCUUUACAAUGAGGAUAAUAAUAGCACUACUUGAUAAGUUGUUAAGAGGAGUUAUUCCAUUAAUAUAGGCAGUUUAGAACAGAGCCUAGUGACUAUAAAUACCAUCAAGUGUUAGCUGUUGCUGUAAUUCAUUCAUCAGGCACCUGCUAUGCUGGGCACUGGGAGCACAGCCCAGAACAAGGCCACAGUGACCCCACUGCACAGAGCCGACUGUUUAGCAGGUCAGGCAGACUAGACCCAGAACUCAUGAACCAGCAGACAUGAUAGACGGUGAUAGUGCCGGGGUGGAAAAAAGGAUGGGGUGGAGGAGCUGUCAAGGAAAAGAGGGGAUGUAUUUUGUGGCAGUCUGGGAGGGCUUCUCUGAGGAAGUGUCCUUUUGGCUGAGAGCUGAAUAACGUAGAGAGCCAGGCAUGAAAAAACAAAAGGAAGGCGGGUCCAGGCCAUCCAGACAGCAUGCAAAGCUCAGCACAUCAAGAAGGGAGCUGCAGCCAAGGGCCCAGGCUGCUCCUCUGCUCAUGCAAGCCAGGCCUUGCUGUCACCAUCAGUCCCAUCCGCCCCCUACCUUGCCCCUCUCACUGGAGAUUUUGCUCUCCAGGUAGUGCUAGAUGAACAGGUCUGACCUUGGGCCUCACGGUCAUCAUUGGUCCUGGGAGGACAAGGUAGCAAGGAGCCCUGGGCUCUGUGGGAUAGGCCAGGAUAGAGAAAGGCUGUGCCAAGAGGGGAGGGAGCAGGGGACACCAGAGCAGUCCAGAGAGGCCAGCUGUGUCCAUCAGGGCAGAGCCUGGGGAAUACUGAUCUGGCCCCACAGUCCCUACAUGAGCCUAUCAGGGCGGGGAGGGAGCUCCAAGAAACAUCUAGCCCAGCCUUCAUGGGAGCCCAUGCUCCACUCUGGGCCCCAGCUGGGGCUGUGCAGCAUCCUCCAUGCUCCUCCAGCCCCCAGGCAUGAGCCCUCAGGUGGCCUUAUCCUGGAAUCGGCCUCCUCCCAUUCUGCCUUUGAGGUCAAAGAGACCCCAUCUCCUCCUCUGCUUCCUGCUGCCCAGGACAGCCUAACCCCACUCCCUGCCAGAGCCCCCUCUCUUCUGAGAACACCAGGCUCAGCCUGUGACUCCCUCGAUCCCGGGAUGCGGGCUUGGCCUCUGCUCUGCGUCUGCCCUUCCCUUACUGGCCAGUCCCUAGCAGGACAGAAGCACAGGGAGCCACCCUUCCUCUGCUGUGUCCUGUUCCCUCAGUGUCCUUGGGCCCACCUUCUUACUCAAGUGAAAGCCUGCUCUCAAGAAAGAAGCAUACAUUGUAGUGACGGCAAUGUUCCCUGUCUUAUCCAUUGGUGCCGAAGUCCACACAUAUUUCCUUUCUUUCUUUCUUUCUUUCUUUUUUUUUUUAUUUUUAUUUUUAGGGCUACAUUUGCAGCCUGUGGAAGUUUCCAGGCUAGGGGUCUAAUCGGAGUUAUAGCUGCCAGCCACAGCCACAGCCACAGCAACGUCAGACCCAAGCCGCAUCUAUUACCUACAUCAUAGCUCACAGCAAGGCCAGAUCCUUAACCCACUGAAUGAGGCCAGGGAUCAAGCCUGCAUCCUCAUGGAUACUAGUCAGGUUCUUAACCCACUGAGCCACAUUGGAAACUCCAAAAAGGGUUAAUUAAAAUUAACUUAUAAAAGAAAGAAGCAUAAUAACAUAAAGUAUUAUUGUAAUUAUUUUGGCUCCUCCUCCUCCUCCUGCCUUCGGUGUACAAACUUUCAAAGAUGCAGUCAGACUCUUAAAGUGACUACGGGCUCAUGGCCAUAAAUGCCCCUCAAAGGCAGCCCCCUGCACCAGACAGCUCCAGACACAACUCCCACUUUACCUAGCUCAGCCUUUCUCCUCACAUGCUCCUGUUACACAGAUGAGAAGACUGAGGCCCCAAAAGGAAGAAUGGUCUGCCUGACAUCAGGUGCACACAGCAUGUCGUGGCAGGGCUGUUGCACUUGUGAGUUGGUCUGACUCAUGAUCAAGAUGUGUGACUAGCUCAGAGCAGGCACUCAAUCAUCACACAUUUCAGUCUCUUCCUCACUCUUCCUGCCUGCCUGCCUUCUUUCAUCCCUUACUUCUCUCUGCCUUUCCCCUUUACUCCUUUUCUUCCCACCCGAGUCUUACUCAGCCUCAGAGGGCAAAUGCUCCAGUUAUCUAAUUCUGUGAAAUAAACCACUCCCAAA